GAUGAACGCUGGCGGCGUGCUUAACACAUGCAAGUCGAACGAUGAGGCCCAGCUUGCUGGGUGGAUUAGUGGCGAACGGGUGAGUAACACGUGAGUAACCUGCCCUUAACUCUGGGAUAAGCCUGGGAAACUGGGUCUAAUACCGGAUAGGAGCGCCUACCGCAUGGUGGGUGUUGGAAAGAUUUAUCGGUUUUGGAUGGACUCGCGGCCUAUCAGCUUGUUGGUGAGGUAAUGGCUCACCAAGGCGACGACGGGUAGCCGGCCUGAGAGGGUGACCGGCCACACUGGGACUGAGACACGGCCCAGACUCCUACGGGAGGCAGCAGUGGGGAAUAUUGCACAAUGGGCGAAAGCCUGAUGCAGCGACGCCGCGUGAGGGAUGACGGCCUUCGGGUUGUAAACCUCUUUCAGUAGGGAAGAAGCGAAAGUGACGGUACCUGCAGAAGAAGCACCGGCUAACUACGUG
Molecule: ribosomal RNA, 466 nt
Filed under: uncultured bacterium
Lineage: Bacteria
Description: partial 16S ribosomal RNA
Rfam family: Bacterial small subunit ribosomal RNA
Source: RNAcentral